RNAcentral lists this ribosomal RNA (450 nucleotides) under uncultured bacterium. RNAcentral's name for it is "partial 16S ribosomal RNA". It matches the Rfam family "Bacterial small subunit ribosomal RNA", at positions 354 to 796 of the family's 1533-position model. The record is from RNAcentral.
GUGGGGAAUAUUCCGCAAUGGACGAAAGUCUGACGGAGCAACGCCGCGUGAGUGAUGAAGGUCUUCGGAUUGUAAAGCUCUGUUAAUCGGGACGAAAGAGCCUAGUGUGAAUAAUGCUAGGAAGUGACGGUACCGGAAUAGAAAGCCACGGCUAACUACGUGCCAGCAGCCGCGGUAAUACGUAGGUGGCAAGCGUUGUCCGGAAUUAUUGGGCGUAAAGCGCGCGCAGGCGGAUCUGCCAGUCUGUCUUAAAAGUUCGGGGCUUAACCCCGUGAUGGGAUGGAAACUACAGAUCUAGAGUAUCGGAGAGGAAAGUGGAAUUCCUAGUGUAGCGGUGAAAUGCGUAGAUAUUAGGAAGAACACCAGUGGCGAAGGCGACUUUCUGGACGAAAACUGACGCUGAGGCGCGAAAGCCAGGGGAGCGAACGGGAUUAGAAACCCUUGUAGUCC